Molecule: ribosomal RNA, 484 nt
Filed under: uncultured bacterium
Lineage: Bacteria
Description: partial 16S ribosomal RNA
Rfam family: Bacterial small subunit ribosomal RNA
Source: RNAcentral
AUUGAACGCUGGCGGCAGGCCUAACACAUGCAAGUCGAGCGGAUGAAGGGAGCUUGCUCCUGGAUUCAGCGGCGGACGGGUGAGUAAUGCCUAGGAAUCUGCCUGGUAGUGGGGGAUAACGUCCGGAAACGGGCGCUAAUAUCGCAUAAGUCCUGAGGGAGAAAGUGGGGGAUCUUCGGACCUCACGCUAUCAGAUGAGCCUAGGUCGGAUUAGCUAGUUGGUGGGGUAAAGGCCUACCAAGGCGACGAUCCGUAACUGGUCUGAGAGGAUGAUCAGUCACACUGGAACUGAGACACGGUCCAGACUCCUACGGGAGGCAGCAGUGGGGAAUAUUGGACAAUGGGCGAAAGCCUGAUCCAGCCAUGCCGCGUGUGUGAAGAAGGUCUUCGGAUUGUAAAGCACUUUAAGUUGGGAGGAAGGGCAGUAAGUUAAUACCUUGCUGUUUUGACGUUACCAACAGAAUAAGCACCGGCUAACUUCGUG